RNAcentral lists this ribosomal RNA (322 nucleotides) under uncultured eukaryote. Its description in RNAcentral is "partial 18S ribosomal RNA". It matches the Rfam family "Eukaryotic small subunit ribosomal RNA", at positions 1470 to 1796 of the family's 1831-position model. The record is from RNAcentral.
CCCUUAGAUGUUCUGGGCCGCACGCGUGCUACACUGAGUGGAUCAGCGGGUCAGGUUGCGCGAAAGUGUUUCCUAAUCUUGAAAUCCGCUCGUGAUGGGGAUUGACGGUUGCAAUUUUCCGUCAUGAACGAGGAAUACCUUGUAAGCGCGGGUCAUCAUCCCGUGCUGAAUACGUCCCUGCCCUUUGUACACACCGCCCGUCGCUCCUACCGAUUGAGUGGUCCGGUGAGGCUUUGGGAUCUGAGCGGAAAGAGCGUUUCGCUGUUUCUGCUCGGAAAACUCAGUCGAACCUUAUCAUUUAGAGGAAGGAGAAGUCGUAACA